This 4518-nucleotide ribosomal RNA is filed under the name Triticum aestivum (bread wheat). RNAcentral's name for it is "partial small subunit ribosomal RNA". The record is from RNAcentral. Lineage: Eukaryota; Viridiplantae; Streptophyta; Magnoliopsida; Poales; Poaceae.
AUGAAGAAUCGAGAGAUUACAUUUACACCGAGAAUAGAGAAAGAAUACUCUGUUUCGAAUGAAUUAAGAGGGCUUCAAUGGGACACUCGCUAUUCCAUACUAAAAGGAAUAUGUGACGGUCUGCAGUAUCUUCAUGUGGAAAAACAUAUUAUUCAUAUGGAUCUGAAGCCAGCAAACAUACUAAUAGAUUAUAAUAUGGUAGCCAAAAUAACUGAUUUUGGCUUAUCAAGAAUGGAGGAAAAUGCACAAACAAAAAGUACAACCCGUUUUUCAUCACCAGGAUACACCGCUCCAGAAUACAUAGACAAAGGCAAAAUGUCAGUCAAGUAUGAUGUGUAUAGCUUGGGAAUCAUAAUAAUCGAACUGGUGACAGGACAAAGGAGUAUUCCCGAUAGUAAUAGUAUAAGCCCCUACUUGGAGGAUGACAUGCUUGUGAUUGAGCCGCUCGAGUUAUGCUUUCCUUUUGAGCUCAACACUCAGAUAUCAUGCUCACUUAAGCUAACCAACGAGACAAAUGAUUUUAUUGCAUUCAACGUUGAAACGACAAGCCCCCUGCCAUACUGUAUACAACCAAAUAAAGGCUUUGUAGCUCCACGAUCGAAGUUUGGUGUCGACAUAACAUUGCAACCACUGGACAAGGCACCACAAGAUAAGUACACGGGUGAUUUCAUUGUGCGGAGCACCAGAGUGAAUGAAAAUCUUGAGGACAUAACUGAAGAUAUAUUCAAAAGACAGGAGGGUAAAUUGGUGGAUGAGGUGAAUCUGACGAUUACAUAUAAGGCCGAGGAACCCGAAGUGGAUGUGCCACUUGGGUCGCCUAUAAUUUCAGACACAAGAAUUUUGCACGGUCCACAUGUAUCCACAGUGCUGUCAACCGAGGUAGAAUCCAAGAUAAGUGCAUCUACCUCAGAUGAGGUGAUCCAGUUUGAUCCCCCCGAGCUCUGCUUUCCCUUAGUGCCAGAUAAAAAGGUGUUAUCCUCAGUUAAAAUAACCAACAUUAGAGAUCUGUAUGUCAGUAUAGCCUGGUCUUCACCAGAAGAAAACUCCGCAAUGUACGCCGUAACCUGUCCCUUAUCGAUCAUGCCACCACGGUCCACACAAUGGCUCACACUAACAAGAGAAGAAAAGGAAGAUGCAGUAAAAGACAUGCAGUUCAAUGACCAAGUCUUUGUGUGGUACACAAUCGUGGCCGAAGAUAUCAAAGUCUCCGACCUUGAUUCGGAGGAUUACAAGGAAUAUAAGAAGUUGUCUGUCGUUCUAACAAAGAUAAACGAUUCUUGUACUACCUCACCAAAUGAGCUGAUCCAGUUUGAUCCACCCGAGCUAAGCUUCCCUUGCCUGAACAAGACGUCACUCUCCUCAGUUAAUAUAAUCAACAUUACAGAUUGCUACAUUGGUUUCAAUUGUUGGAACUUCACGGAGUUUUCUGCGUGCCAUGACAGACAGCCCCGUCAAGGAAUUCUUGCACCGCGGUCCACUCAGAGAAUGGUUGUACAAUGUGUACCCAAGGAAAAUGAACCAGUAGAGGACAUGCAUUGCAAAAAAAGCAUAUUCGUGUGGAACAUGAUUGUGGCUCAAGGUGUCGAAUCCAGCAGCUUGGAGGAUCAAUGCAGUGAUGAAGACAGUAAGGAGCUGCCCUUCAUUUUUAACAAUAAUAUAAGCAGCCCAUGUACCUCAACCUCAACCUCAGGAGACGAGCUGCUGAUCCGGUUGGACCAUCCUGCAGGGCUUGUCUUUCCGCGAAACAAGACAGGCUUGUUCUCAAUUAACAUUGUCAACGUUACCGAUUACUAUGUUGGUUUUCGUCUAUUUAAGCCCAGAGAAGAUGCGGCCGUGACCCACCGUACACAUACUGAAGUAGGAAUUUUGGCACCACGGUCUGAUCAAAGACUCGUCGUAGCAAGGCUAAUAAAUGAAAAGGAACCACAAGACACAACAUACAACGACGACAAGCAGCUCUUAAUAUGGAAUGCCAUUGUCAGUGAAGGCGUCAAAGUCAGCGACCUUGAUUGUUCCAUAUGUCUCCAGAUAGAGAAGAGUAUCGAGUUGCCCUUGAUUUUUGAUAAGAUAACUUCAUCUACAUCAGUUGAGCUGAUCAAGUUUGAACCCCCCCAAGUCUGUUUCCCCUUCCUGCCGAGCAAACGUCUGUUAUCUCCAUUUAAGAUAGUCAACGUUACAGAUUAUCACAUUGGUUUCGGUACACGAGUUGAGGAAACAAAUGUGGCGUUGUACAUCACGGUGCCACCAUAUGGAAUCCUGCCACCACGGUCGACACAAGAACUGGUGGUAACAAGGGUCGCCAAGAAAGAGGCACCGGAACUGGAAGACAUGCAGUGCAAAGAUAAAUACUUUGUGUGGAGCUGCUUUGUGACUCAAGAUGUCAACGCCAGCGAACUCACAAGAUAUAUGCCCCAAAGUGAGAGAAGGGAGCUGCCCAUAAUUUUUACGGAGACAAGCUCAAACGAGUUGGUUCAGUUUGAUCCUCCCGAGCUCAGCUUUCCUCUGUUGCCAAACCAGAGAGUCUUGUCGUCAACUAAGAUAGUCAAUAUUGCAGAUCAGUACAUCGGUUUCAGAGUAUGCACCAAGAAAAGCAAUUCAGCAAGGUACAACACAAAUCCGGCAGAAGGAAUUUUGCCACCGCUGUCCACGCAAGUAAUCCUGGUAACAAGGAUAGCAGGGGAAAAUGAACUAGAAGAGACACAGUGCAACGGCAAGUUUUUGGUGUGGAGCGGCAUUGUGACUGAAGAUACGAAAGCCAGCGAUGUUAUUGACAACAUGUCCGAGACAAAGUGUACCGGUUUGCCCAUUGUUCUUACACAGACAAGUUCAUCUAUCUCAGAGGAGUUGAUCCAAUUUGAUCCACCAGAACUUCACUUUCCCAUUUUGCCAAACAAGAAGGUGUUGUCCUCAAUUGAGGUAGUGAACCUUACAGAUUACAAUGUUGGUUUCAAUACAUAUAGCAGGCCAACAAAUGUGGCAUGGUACCACACAGAGCCACCGAGAGGAAUCCUGCCGCCACGAUCCACUCAAAAACUUACGGUAACAAGAGAAGAAAAGGAAGAUGCAUUGAAAUAUAAGCAGCUCAAUGAAAAGUACUUUGUGUGGACAGGCAUUGUAUCUGAAUGUGUCAAAGACAACGAGCUUAGUGAUUGCAUGGCUGAACAAGAGAGCAAAGAGUUGCCCAUUGUUCUUGACAAGAUAAGCUCAUUAACCUCAGAUGAGCUGAUCCAGUUGGAUCCCGCCGAGCUCUGCAUGCCCCACUUGCCAAACAAGGAAAUGAAGUUCAUAGUAAAUGUAGUCAACACUACAGAUUUCUAUGUUGCUUUCAAUGUAUAUUUCAUCCGCAGGAAUGCAGCACAGGACAAGAGACCUGCAUCGGUAGGUACAGGAUCGAAUGUAAUCCUGCAACCACGAUCCACCAAUAGACAAAUACUACAUUGGAUAAUUGAUGAGACGGAGGAGCCCGUAGAAGAUUACUUUGUGUGGAGCCGUGUUGUGACUGAAGGUGUGGAAAGCAGAGACAUCAUUCGUUACAUGGUUGAGGAAGAGAGUAAGAAACUGCCCUUUGUUGUUAAUAAGGCAAGCCCGGCAUGUACCUCAAACGAGCUGAUCCAGUUUGAGCCGCCUGAGCUCAGCCUCCCCUUGAUGAUGAUGCCAAACAAGCCCUUGGCGUUUUCAGUUAAUAUACUCAACAGUACAGACUACUAUGUUGGUUUUGGUGGAUAUAACCUGAAAACAAAUGUGGCCUGCUACUCCAUAAAACCUGCGGGUGGAGUUAUGCCGCCACGGUCCACUCAAAGACUGGUUGUAAAAAGGGUACCAAAGAAAAAGGAGGAGCUGCUUAGUGAGUGCCAAGAUGAUAAGUUCCUCGUAUGGAGCUGCUUAGUGAGUGAAGGUGCCAAAGCCAGCGACCUCAAUGGUUGUGCUAAAUACACAGUGGGUAGGGAGUUGCCAAUUGUUUGUACUAACAAGACAAGCAACUUAUGCACCUCAGACGAGUUGAUCCAGUUUGAUCCUCCACAGCUCCCGUUCACCUUCCUUCCCAACAUGAGGGUGUCCAUGUUGCGCUUGCUUAAAAUAGUCAAUGUUACAGAUCACAUCGUCGGUUUCAGUACAUGGUCUCAUGAAGCCAAUUCUGCGUCAUACACAAUGGAACCGCGUGCAGGGAUCCUGCCACCACAGUCCACACAAGCAAUCAAGGUAAGAAGGACCCCAAAGAAAAAUGAAACGGAAGAUAUCCAGUGCAAAGACAAGAUUUUUGUGUGGAAUGGAAUUUUGACUGAAGGUGUCCAAGUUAGGGAUGUCUGUACAUACUGGAAGAACGAAGAUAAAGAGUUGCCCAUUGUUCUAACAAAGGUACAGAAAGAUACAACUAUUACGGUAAUUGACACAACUAAUAACUAUGGGCUUUCUAUAUAUGUUGACAGCCUGGAGAAAGCAGUUCAAGGUAGGAUCGGCAGCAUGGUCGAAUCUCUUGGACGUAAAGCUGGCUUGACAAGCGUGAUCCAAUCGAUGUAG